RNAcentral lists this long non-coding RNA (5988 nucleotides) under Fragaria vesca (wild strawberry). RNAcentral describes it as "long non-coding RNA (FVES_LNC003638)". The record is from RNAcentral. Lineage: Eukaryota; Viridiplantae; Streptophyta; Magnoliopsida; Rosales; Rosaceae.
GCAUACAAAUAUACACUGCAAAUUUUUAUUAUUAUUUGCAUAAAAAAAACAUACAAGGAAUAAGCCUAAUGUUAGGAAUGGUUCGUUUUAGGACUCUUAAACCUAACAAGUUCACAAGAAAAUAAAGCAAGUUUACAAGAUUAUAGUUUCAUGGUAGUUAUCUGUCUCUCAAACAAAAAAAAUCUGUCUCUCCUCCAAGCUAGCAAGUACCCAGCCAAGUGAUAACAUUCUUGCUGCAGCAGCAUAUCCACAUAUCCUCUGUGCAAUUUGCUUGUCACUGCAUCUUUCAAAUUAAUCUUUGGCACCAUCUGAUAAUGAAAGCCAUGGUUGAAUUUCAAAGUCAACUGCACCUUCCUAUAUGACAUCAAAUAUACUCUCUCAGUCUAUGCACAAGUAUAUAUAAAGUUAGGGGUGAUGAGAGCACAGUCAAAAAGAAUAUAAUGAAUGAAUUGAAUUUACUAGCCCAAAAUGGAGGUACACUACAGUAAGUAUCCAUCUCUAAUUCUUCUUUACCCGAAGUCUUUUAUGCAUAGCACUAGCAUCCCUCAUAUACCUUAUAGAUGAUAACAUCAACUUUAUAAAUUGAAACAAACAUAAAAAUGAUCGGCAGCAAAAAAACAAGCAUUUCACACAAGCAAAUAGAAACAACAUAUAAAGCAAACAUAGAGGCUCCCCAAUUUUUCCCCUACCUUUGUUAACUUUCACAUGAAGUAUGAAGCUCCUAAUAAAAAGAUAUAACCAUUAGUUUAACCAAUAGUAUGCAAUGUCUGUUUCAUUUAUAACUCAAUUUAACACUAAGCUCAGAUGCUAAACAGAAGAUACAAUAGUAAGCCAAAACAGUUUCACACAAUAACACAACAACACAAUUUAGCUUUUUGAACCAGUCGCCUUAACUUCAAAAACUGUACAAAUCCUUAAGGAAUUUGAUUUCGAUUUCUUCUAAUGACUUAUAGCAGAUACACAAAAGAAACUCAUAGACUUGGAAUCAACUUAAAAUGAUUUUUCUUGAAUUAGUUAUGGAUUUUCAAAGUUCAGCUUCAGUUUCAGGUUUUUCUGAAAAUUUCCUGCUAUGUGCCUAAACUUAGAAUUUAAAAGCAAAUAAGAAACUCUAUGUGAUACUAAACUUCUAGCAACUGAACAUAACCACUCCAAUGUUUCAAAAAGGAAACACACAAAACUUGCAACAUAAGUAGCUAAAUUAGAUUACCACAACGACAGCUAACAUAAGAUAACAAGUAAAUAUAGUUCUACACUUCUAAUGUUCAUCCAACUUUAAGCAUACCAAAACCUUGAUCUCUAACUUCAAUUUGAGAAACAAAUUACAUGUAUAAGAACCUUAUAGUCUAAUCUAUAUAUCUAUAUAAUAACAUAAAAGAGUAAGAAUCAUAGGCAAACACUGAGACUAAAAAGCAAAGGUACAAAAUCAGAAAAGUGCCUAACUGAAAUUCUGACCAGAAAAGCCUUUGGUUAAAAACGAUAUGGUUCAACUAGGAAUUAAAGCUUGGUGUCUUCAUGGCAUUUGAAAUAGACAUCCUAAAUAUCAAUCUGGAACUGGAAUCGUACAAAAAAGAUUUUCCUACAAUUACUUAUGAUUUUUCAAAGUUGAACACCUGCAUCACGAAAAUCACUGAUUUUGACUCAGAUUAAGUUUCCCCUUUUAAAGAUGAUUCCCAAUAGGUAACAACUAACAACAAAGAAAUACCCAAUCCUAAUGCUUUACUUCCUACCAAGAUGAUCCUCCAUAACAAGAAGCAUAAAUACUGAAGUAAAACACCAACAUUGAAAGCAGAAAGUCAUAAAGAAUCAUCUAUAUAUACUAUUACAAUAUACAUAAUAAACACAACAUAUACGUUGACAAACACAACAACUCUAUAGAAACUCAUCUUUUCUGUAAGAAUUGACUAAGUGACUAACAUGGUUCACAAAGGAAUAACCAAUUGAUCAAGAACAUAAAAGAUGCAGACCUGAAUUGUUCUUCAUAUAUUCCUAUUCUCUCUCUNNNNNNNNNNNNNNNNNNNNAGUGUAGCCGCCCGGUAAAUGUUUCGAGGGUGCACAAGGUUGACUACUUUUCACGCGUCACCCUUAGUAAGGUCAUCAAGAUAAAACACUUGUUUUACCGAUGUGACAAAAACGAACGGGUCAUUUUCGUAACAACUUGUAGCAGUGUUCACCGAUAAUAUUUUGUACUGAUCGGUCUUCAUGCUCUGCGGCCUAGUAUCAAACCAUCUACACUUGAAGAGGUGCACUGUCAUGCCUUGCCCAUAAACGAGUUCCACCACUGAAUGGAGAACACCGUAAUAGUCAACUCCAUUCCGCCCAUCAUGCGCCAUGACCCCAGAAUUUUGUGUUCUCCGUCUGCUGUCUCUCUGUUCACAUAUAAAUUGCACGCCAUUCAUCUUGCACAUCGGAUAAACUCUUGACAUUAUCGGCUUCAUCGCUAGAAGUCUUAGUUCGUGCGACCAAUUUGGGUGACCAUCAAAUUGAAUAUGGUUCAUCUGCAACCACCCAUUCAACUGUAAAUAUGGAUAAUUAUGCAAUAAACAUAAACACGUACAGAAAUAUUAAAUUACGUAUCCAGCCGCCAAAAUAAUCUGCGAACUCUCUGUUGUGGUACUCGAGAUGACCUUGAAUGUCUGGACAAUAUAGAUGGAUGUCUUUCCAGUAUUCAACUUCUCGAUAGUUAACACUAUAAAAAACAAGUAGAUUGGCCACGGCGCAAAACCGUCACCAAUAGCCUUUUUGCCGUGGCAAAACAGUAUUCGCGACGGCGCUGCGACGGCAAAACGUCCGUCACAAAUAGUGGCAUCGCCAAUGGUAUUUGCGACGGCAAUUACGCCGUCGCAAGAGAAUUAGCGACGGCAAACCUUUGUCGUCGCAAGAAGAUACGACGGUGUAAUUGCCGUCGCCAAUACCAUUAGUGACGCCACCAUUUGCGACCACAGCUUUUGCGACGGUAGCAAUGCCGUGGCAAAAGAGUUAUUUAUGAAUAAAAAAAAAUUGGCAUACAAAUAUACACUGCAAAUUUUUAUUAUUAUUUGCAUAAAAAAACAUACAAGGAAUAAGUCUAAUGUUAGGAAUGAUUCGUUUUAGGAAUCUUAAACCUAACAAGUUCACAAGAAAAUAAAGCUAAGUUUACAAGAUUAUAGUUUCAUGGUAGUGUUUACAAGAUUAUAGUUUCAUGGUAGUUAUCUGUCUCUCAAAAAAAAAUGUGUCUCUCCUCCAAGCUAGCAAGUACCCAGCCAAGUGAUAACAUUCUUGCUGCAGCAGCAUAUCCACAUAUCCUCUGUGCAAUUUGCUUGUGACUGCAUAUUUCAAAUUAAUCUUUGACACCAUCUGAUAAUGAAAGCCAUGGUUGAAUUUCAAAGUCAACUGCACCUUCCUAUAUGACAUCAAAUAUACUCUUUCAGUCUAUGCACAAGUAUAUAUAAAGUUAGGGGUGAUGAGAGCACAGUCAUAAAGAAUAUAAUGAAUGAAUUGAAUUUACCAGCCCAAAAUGGAGGUACACUACAGUAAGUAUCUAUCUCUAAUUCUUCUUUACCCAAACUGUUUUAUGCAUAGCACUAGCAUCCCUCAUAUACCUUAUACAUCAACUUUAUAAAUCGAAACAAACAUAAAAAUGAUCGGCAGCAAAGAAACAAGCAUUUCACACAAGCAAAUAGAAACAACAUAUAAAGCAAACAUAGAGGCUCCCUAAUUUUUCCCCUACCUUUGUUAACUUUCACAUGAAGUAUGAAGCUCCUAAUAAAAAGAUAUAACCAUUAGUUUAAGCAAUAAUAUGCAAUGUCUGUUUCAUUUAUAACUCAAUUUAAGACUAAGCUUAGAUGCUAAACAGAAGAUACAAUAGUAAGCCAAAACAGUUUCACACAAUAACACAACAACACAAUUUAGCUUUCUGAACCAGUCGCCUUAACUUCAAAAACUGUACAAAUCCGUAAGGAAUUUGAUUUCGAUUUCUUCUAAUGACUUAUAGCAGAUACACAAAAGAAACUCUUAGACUUGGAAUCAACUUAAAAACGAUUUUUCUUGAAUUAGUUAUGGAUUUUCAAAGUUCAGCUUCAGUUUCAGGUUUUUCUGAAAAUUUCCUGCUAUGUGCCUAAACUUAGAAUUUAAAAGCAAAUAAGAAACUCUAUGUGAUACUAAACUUCUAGCAACUGAACAUAACCACUCCAAUGUUUCAAAAAGGAAACACACAAAACUUGCAACAUAAGUAGCUAAAUUAGAUUACCACAACGACAGCUAACAGAAAGAUAACAAGUAAAUAUAGUUCUACACUUCUAAUGUUCAUCCAACUUUAAGCAUACCAAAACCUUGAUCUCUAACUUCAAUUUGAGAAACAAAUUACAUUUAUAAGAACCUUAUAGUCUAAUCUAUAUAUCUAUAUAACAUAAAAGAGUAAGAAUCAUAGGCAAACACUGAGACUAAAAGCAAAGGUACAAAAUCAGAAAAGUGCCUAACUGAAAUUCUGACCAGAAAAGUCUUUGGUUAAAAACGAUAUGGUUCAACUAGGAAUUAAAGCUUGGUGUCUUCAUGGCAUUUGAAAUAGACAUCCCAAAUAUCAAUCUGGAACUGGAAUCGUACAAAAAAGAUUUUUCUACAAUUACUUAUGAUUUUUCGAAGUUGAACACCUGCAUCAGGAAAAUCACUGAUUUUGACUCAAAUUAAGUUUCCCCUUUUAAAGAUGAUUCCCAAUAGGUAACAACUAACAACAAAGAAAUACCCAAUCCUAAUGCUUUACUUCCUACCAAGAUGAUCCUCCAUAACAAGAAGCAUGAAUACUGAAGUUAAAACACCAACAUUGAAAGCAGAAAGUCAUAAAGAAUCAUCUAUAUAUAUUAUUACAAUAUACAUAAUAAACACAACAUAUACGUUGACAAACACAACAACUCUAUAGAAACUCUUCUUUUCUGUAAGAAUUGACUAAGUGACUAAUUAACAUGGUUCACAAAGGAAUAACCAAUUGAUCAAGAACAUAAAAGAUGCAGACCUGAAUUGUUCUUCAUAUAUUCCUCUCUCUCUCUCUCUCUCUCUCUCUCUCUACNNNNNNNNNNNNNNNNNNNNAAUAAAAAAGUAACUGAUACAUGGGGACCAAAUGGUAGUCAGCCUUCAAAGACUAUAUCAAGAUGAAAUACGGAAAAUAAGAAAAGACAUUUGUUGAUUUUUCACGGUGAAAUGGUGUUCUUGGUCAACUACAGCAAUAUCAAUUACACAGGUAGUAAUAUUAAUCCAUGGCAUGUGUGAUGAAGAUAAAUAGCUCACUUCAAUAUUUUCUAUAACAGAAUUUCAAGAAGUUGCCAUCUAGUAUAAAUGCAAACAUGAUCAAAAAGUAUGAUUUGAUCUCUAGUAUACAUUUCGUAGAAAUAAUAUAGUCCAUACUCAAUAUGUAAAACGUGUUUACUGUAGCUGAACCUUUUGUAGAGAAAAAGAAGUAGGAACAAUGGCUGCAAAGCCAAAAGAUAUUAUUUAGAAAAAACCAUUGCCAAGACUUAUCAUAUAUAGCGAUCAUCAUAGGAAAGUUGAACACCAUACCUUCACUUAAUAAAUACCUAAGCAAUCCACAUUCUUUACUCUGUUUUCAUCACCCAAACAGUCUACGCAGAACAAAUUGAACACUAAAAUGAAAUACCCAAAUAGUAAAACGAAAUUCAUAAACACAGUAAAACGAAUCUCACAAUUUGACAUACCACUACCAGAAGAAAGACUUUAGCCGACGAAAAUAAAAAACCAGGCCGACGAAUUAUUUUUUCGUCGGCUAAAUUUCCCUUCGUCGGCUAAUUAAAAAUUUUCGUCGGCUAUGGUCAACUUUAGCCGACGAAAUUUUAAUUUCGUCGUCUGAAUAAUUUUUUUCGUCGACUAUAGUCUGUGAACUUUAGCCGACGAAAUUUUUUAAAAGUUUAGCCGACGAAAUUAUAUUUUUCGUCGGCUAAAGUAUUUAAAUAUCUGCAAAUCUGGACAACAACUCAUCUGGGAAAAAAAAACUAUACGUAGAAC